AGGGCUUUCUUGGUAGCGUCACUCCUGACUACGUCCCAUUCCAGAUGUGGGAUACCUUACAGGGGCUCUCGACAUACAUCCGUGCAAUGUUGUCUACUCAAGCCCUUUUAGGUGCCAUUGGCGUAGGUGAGAAAUCUGCUACAGUCAUAGGUGCCACUUU
Molecule: long non-coding RNA, 160 nt
Organism: Hordeum vulgare subsp. vulgare (domesticated barley)
Lineage: Eukaryota; Viridiplantae; Streptophyta; Magnoliopsida; Poales; Poaceae
Exons: 3
Source: RefSeq, a predicted model, not a curated record